Molecule: ribosomal RNA, 705 nt
Filed under: Triticum aestivum (bread wheat)
Lineage: Eukaryota; Viridiplantae; Streptophyta; Magnoliopsida; Poales; Poaceae
Description: partial small subunit ribosomal RNA
Source: RNAcentral
AUGACCGGCUUUCUCGGGAAGUUGGUUGAGGGUUCCCAAGAGCCCGGUGACACACAAGAUGAUCUAGAUGGAGACGCUGGCCUCGGCAAGGAUGACGACGACGACAUGGAGAAUGUGCAACAGGACACCGAUGAUGAUGAACAUGCUGAAGUUCGUGCAGGUGGUAACAAGGGCAAGGAUGCAACAGAUUUCCCCCCAACAGAGAAAGUCAAAGAACAUACGGCUGCGAGAGGCGAGGGGGUGUUGCCAUCAAGGAGGGGUGAAACUUCACAGGAUGUUGGGCAGGGUUCUCCUGGCAAGAGUCCUAGGACCGAUCCCGUAGCUGCCAGGAUGAGCGAGCCGACCGCUGGUGGACGAGCAGUUACAAAGAAACAGGCGCCAACGCCAACCCGUGUUUCUGCUCGGUUGAACAAAGGUGCCCCCAUUGCCGGUGACACCCCUUCCACCAGGUCUUCUCCUCGUACGACGACGACCAACACCGGGGAUCCUGUCGUGUUGCCAGACCUGAGGAAGCCAGUCAAGAAGAUGAAGAAGACUACUACACGUGGGGCCAAGCAUAUCAUCAAGGACCCACUCGAACGCCUGCAUUCAAAGUUGUCAACAGGGGGAAACUCAGAUGUUCAUGAGGCGCCAGGCGACAAUACGGCUGCUGCACCGUCAACUGCUCCCACUACCUCUGAUAGGCAUCCGUACAUCGGGGAGUGA